AUGAAGCCGGGUUGUUCUCGGCUUCUUUUUAUCUGCCUUUCGGCGACAUGGGUGCUGGCCACGGCCGAUGUACCGGCAGGCCAGCGUCCCGGCUGCCCGGCCAAGUGCGGCGACGUUGCAAUCCCGUUCCCGUUCGGCAUCGGCGAGCACUGCGCGUUGCACAGUGGCUUUAGCCUCAACUGCAAGAGCAUCAACGGCACCAUGAAGCCCUUUAAAGGGAACAUCGAGGUGACCAAGAUCUCCGUACCCAGCAGCAAGGUCUGGAUGAUGACGAGGAUGUCCCGGCAGUGCUAUUUGAAAGCCACUCGCACGACGAAUUACUCUGAUGCAAGCUUGAGCUUCACAAAUUCACCCUUCUCGAUAUCGGAAGUGGAUAACAAAAUUAUCGUCAUCGGGUGCAAUGCUGUCGCUUAUAUGAUGAGCUCUACUUACGUAAUAGGUUGCUAUUCCACAUGCAAGAAUGUCACCCUCGAGAAUGGCAAAUGCUCUGGCGCUGGCUGUUGUCAAGCCGAUGUCCCAAAGGGAAUACAGUAUUAUCGUGGCUAUUUCAACGAAAACACAACACUGCUCAAAUAUGGAAAGACUACCCUUGCAACUACAUGAUAGUGAUGGAAAAGGCAGCUUUCAGUUUCAACACCAGCUAUGUCAAACCCAAAGUAUUCUAUGAGACAUACAAGGAGGGAGUUCCUCUUGUCGCGAACUGGGUAAUAAGACCAUGGACUUGCAAGGCAGCUAAAAAGAACAUGAGUACCUAUGCGUGCAUCAGCAGCCAUAGUGCGUGUGUUGAUUCCACCACCAACAAUCCAGGUUACCAUUGCAAGUGCUCCAAUGGGUACAAAGGCAACCCUUACAUCACGGCUGGAUGCCAAGAUAUUGACGAGUGCCGUGAAAAAGCUAAUCCUUGUGGCCGAGGGAUCUGCAAGAAUACGCAGGGGAAAUACAGUUGCUCAUGCCACCCUGGGAACUAUAUGGCAAAUGGUGUCUGCGUACCAAUUCCAAAGUCUCCCCAUUUUCCUGCGGUGCCAGUUGUGUGCAAGUGUUGGACUUGUCAUCAUUGUGAUUUUUGUUGCCUUUGCAUGCUUCAUCCAAGAGAGACGGAAGCUACAGAACAUGAAACAGAACUACUUCCGGCAGCACGGCGGCCUUAUACUAUUUGAAGAGAUGAAGGAGAAGCAAGGCGUUACAUUCAAAAUCUUCUCAGAGGAAGAACUGCAGCAAGCCACGAACAAGUUCAGCGAACAACAAGUCUUAGGUCAUGGGGGGCACGGGACCGUGUACAAGGGACUUUUCAAGGACAAUUUGGAGGUGGCGGUCAAGAGAUGCAUGACCAUCAACGAGCAACACAAGAAAGAGUUCGGUAAGGAGAUGCUAAUCCUAUCCCAAAUCAACCACAAAAACAUUGUGAAGCUUCUGGGAUGCUGCCUCGAAGUGGAAGUCCCCAUGUUGGUUUAUGAGUUCGUCCCAAACAGCACUCUCUUCCAUCUCAUCCACGGCAACCAUGGCCGACGUAUCCCCUUAGCCACUCGCUUGGGGAUCGCUCAUGAGUCCGCGGACGCGCUCUCCUACCUUCACUCAUCCACUUCGACACCAAUCCUUCAUGGUGAUGUCAAGUCCUCCAAUAUCCUCCUUGAUGGCGACUACAAGGCUAAAGUCUCCGACUUCGGUGCCUCUAUCCUGGCACCAACCGAUGAGUCACAAUUUGUAACACUUGUACAAGGGACGUGCGGGUACCUUGACCCGGAGUACAUGCAAACAUGCCAGUUGACAGACAAGAGUGACGUGUACAGCUUUGGUGUCGUUCUUCUGGAGCUGCUCACGGGGAAGAAGCCCUUUAGUCUUGAUGCCUCUGACCAAGAGAAGAGCCUAUCAAUGAUGUUUAUGUCUGCAGUGAAGGAGAAUAAGCUUCAGGAGAUCUUGGAUGAUGGGAUCAAGCAAGACAACAUGGAGGUUCUUGAAGAGAUCGCGGAGCUAGCGAAGCAAUGCUUGGAGAUGUGCGGUACGAAUAGGCCAUCGAUGAAGGAAGUUGCAGAGAAGCUUGAUAGGUUGAGGAAGGUGAUGCAACAUCCCUGGGUGCAACUGCAGCAAAACCCUGAAGAGAACGAAAGUUUACUUGGGCAGCGAUCGGCAAUGGUCAACUCGACGGUUGUUAGUGCUGAAUAUUUUAGCAUCGAGAAGGAAGCAGUGACGAGUCUGGGAUCUGGCUGA
Molecule: ribosomal RNA, 2205 nt
Filed under: Triticum aestivum (bread wheat)
Lineage: Eukaryota; Viridiplantae; Streptophyta; Magnoliopsida; Poales; Poaceae
Description: partial small subunit ribosomal RNA
Source: RNAcentral